RNAcentral lists this ribosomal RNA (327 nucleotides) under uncultured eukaryote. Its description in RNAcentral is "partial 18S ribosomal RNA". It matches the Rfam family "Eukaryotic small subunit ribosomal RNA", at positions 1470 to 1796 of the family's 1831-position model. The record is from RNAcentral.
CCCUUAGAUGUUCUGGGCUGCACGCGCGCUACACUGAAGGAGGCAGCGUGUACUCCUGGAUCGAAAGAUUUGGGUAACCCGCGAAUCUCCUUCGUGCUAGGGAUUGAGGUUUGCAAUUAUCCUUCAUGAACGAGGAAUUCCCAGUAAGUGCAAGUCAUAAGCUUGCGCUGACUACGUCCCUGCCCUUUGUACACACCGCCCGUCGCUACUACCGAUUGAAUGAUUUAGUGAGGACUUUGGACUGGGACCGAUGCGGCUUUCGGGCUGCGUCGGUAUUCUGGAAAGAUGUCCAAACUGUAUCAUUUAGAGGAAGUAAAAGUCGUAACA